Molecule: long non-coding RNA, 331 nt
Organism: Passer domesticus (house sparrow)
Lineage: Eukaryota; Metazoa; Chordata; Aves; Passeriformes; Passeridae
Exons: 3
Source: RefSeq, a predicted model, not a curated record
AGUUUGUUGGCUGUGCUGAGAAGGAGUCAGUGCUGUGAGGAGCUGCCUGUGAGAUAUCACCAAGAAGGCCCUGCAGCUUACCUAUGAAUGCUGGACCUGGAGCAGCCUGCUGUGGGGCUGGUCCCCAGCCUAGCCAUCCCUGGGACAGCUGUGUCUCAUCCCAGCAAUAAAAACAUCAGCUAAACACUGCAGGUAUGGAGUGACAGAGCUGCUUUGAGCAUAGGCACACAGGCUGCCUUGAACACAACACAGAAGAGCUCCUGUGGUGCCUCUUUGAAUGCUUUAACAUUAGAUCCAUGCCACUGUUUUCCUUACAAACACCUGAUGCUAC